Molecule: long non-coding RNA, 147 nt
Organism: Sarcophilus harrisii (Tasmanian devil)
Lineage: Eukaryota; Metazoa; Chordata; Mammalia; Dasyuromorphia; Dasyuridae
Exons: 3
Source: RefSeq, a predicted model, not a curated record
AUCCACUACUCUACCCAUUGCACCACCUAGAGGUAAUUGGAUGGCAUAAUGGAUAGACCACUUGCGUAGAAUCAGGAAUACUAAAGCUCUCCUCACGUGAGAAGGUUUAUGUAUUCAGCCUUUAAGUCAUAGACAGAAUUUGGUAAG